RNAcentral lists this ribosomal RNA (473 nucleotides) under uncultured bacterium. RNAcentral describes it as "bacterial SSU rRNA". It matches the Rfam family "Bacterial small subunit ribosomal RNA", at positions 335 to 801 of the family's 1533-position model. The record is from RNAcentral.
ACUCCUACGGGAGGCAGCAGUAGGGAAUCUUCCACAAUGGGCGCAAGCCUGAUGGAGCAACACCGCGUGAGUGAAGAAGGGUUUCGGCUCGUAAAGCUCUGUUGUUAAAGAAGAACACGUAUGAGAGUAACUGUUCAUACGUUGACGGUAUUUAACCAGAAAGUCACGGCUAACUACGUGCCAGCAGCCGCGGUAAUACGUAGGUGGCAAGCGUUAUCCGGAUUUAUUGGGCGUAAAGAGAGUGCAGGCGGUUUUCUAAGUCUGAUGUGAAAGCCUUCGGCUUAACCGGAGAAGUGCAUCGGAAACUGGAUAACUUGAGUGCAGAAGAGGGUAGUGGAACUCCAUGUGUAGCGGUGGAAUGCGUAGAUAUAUGGAAGAACACCAGUGGCGAAGGCGGCUACCUGGUCUGCAACUGACGCUGAGACUCGAAAGCAUGGGCAGCGAACAGGAUUAGAUACCCUGGUAGGAUAGCG